AUUGAACGCUGGCGGCAUGCCUUACACAUGCAAGUCGAACGGCAGCACGGGAGCAAUCCUGGUGGCGAGUGGCGAACGGGUGAGUAAUAUAUCGGAACGUGCCCAGUCGUGGGGAUAACGUAGCGAAAGCUACGCUAAUACCGCAUACGAUCUAAGGAUGAAAGCGGGGGAUCGCAAGACCUCGCGCGAUUGGAGCGGCCGAUAUCAGAUUAGCUAGUUGGUGAGGUAAAGGCUCACCAAGGCGACGAUCUGUAGCUGGUCUGAGAGGACGACCAGCCACACUGGGACUGAGACACGGCCCAGACUCCUACGGGAGGCAGGCAGUGGGGAAUUUUGGACAAUGGGCGCAAGCCUGAUCCAGCAAUGCCGCGUGCAGGAUGAAGGCC
RNAcentral lists this ribosomal RNA (386 nucleotides) under uncultured bacterium. RNAcentral's name for it is "bacterial SSU rRNA". It matches the Rfam family "Bacterial small subunit ribosomal RNA", at positions 29 to 416 of the family's 1533-position model. The record is from RNAcentral.